UACGUAGGGCGCAAGCGUUAUCCGGAAUUAUUGGGCGUAAAGAGCUCGUAGGCGGUUUGUCGCGUCUGCCGUGAAAGUCCGGGGCUCAACUCCGGAUCUGCGGUGGGUACGGGCAGACUAGAGUGAUGUAGGGGAGACUGGAAUUCCAGGUGUAGCGGUGAAAUGCGUAGAUAUCUGGAGGAACACCGGUGGCGAAGGCGGCAUUCUGGACCGAUAUUGACGCUGAGGAGCGAAAGCCAGGGGAGCAAACGGG
Molecule: ribosomal RNA, 253 nt
Filed under: uncultured bacterium
Lineage: Bacteria
Description: partial 16S ribosomal RNA
Rfam family: Bacterial small subunit ribosomal RNA
Source: RNAcentral